CCUACGGGCGGCUGCAGUAAGGAAUAUUGGUCAAUGGAGGAAACUCUGAACCAGCCAUCCCGCGUGAAGGAUGAAGGGGCUCUGCCUUGUAAACUUCUUUUGUCUGGGGCGAAAAAGCUCGAUUUAUCGAGAACUGACGGUACCAGACGAAUAAGCACCGGCUAACUCCGUGCCAGCAGCCGCAGUAAUACGGAGGGUGCCGGAGUUACCGGGAUUAAAGGGUGCGUAGGCGGCUUAGUAAGUCUGAGGUGAAAGGCUAUGGCUUAACCAUGGAAUUGCGAUUGAUACUGCAGAGCUUGAGUGAGGUUGAGGUUGGCGGAAUGUGACAUGUAGCGGUGAAAUGCUUAGAGAUGUCAUGGAACACCGAUUGCGAAGGCAGCUGACUGGACCUAUAUUGACGCUGAGGCACGAAAGCGUGGGGAGCGAACAGGAUUAGAUACCCUAGUAGUC
This 450-nucleotide ribosomal RNA is filed under the name uncultured bacterium. Its description in RNAcentral is "partial 16S ribosomal RNA". It matches the Rfam family "Bacterial small subunit ribosomal RNA", at positions 338 to 795 of the family's 1533-position model. The record is from RNAcentral.